UUCACGAAGUGUAAAGUACUAUUUCCUUAUAACACGAUGUUGCUCAAGUUUGGUCUUGUGCUCACUGUUCUUCUCGUGACAACCACUAUCAACUUGUCAUGGUUCUCAAGUUCUAAAGUGGAGGCGAUUCAGAAUGUUGAGCAUGAUCUCUCAAGACUGACUCGAAAGAAGCUUACUCCCUCGUCUUAAUGACUUUUUAACUUGUGGGAGAACUUGUGAAAUCGGAAAAGAGUGCAACGAUUGCUGGAUUUGUUGUUCUUGUCUGUUUGGUUAUUGCGACAUAGUUAUGCCGUAGAAUACGUGCAAAUUGCACAUAAUUUUGCAAAUGCAACAAACACUAGUACAAGUCCCUACUAUGAAUCUGUAUCUUGGUUUGAAUUUAGUGUUUCUUUCAAUGUUUCCUUGUAUUUUAGUCGUUGUACGAAUAAAGGAAAAAGUUAAUUGAAUGACUUUCUAUUUAACAAUAAAGGAUAUCGACUUCAAAGGUGA
Nicotiana tabacum (common tobacco) is the source of this 489-nucleotide long non-coding RNA. RefSeq lists it as uncharacterized. The record is from RefSeq and is a predicted model, not a curated record. NCBI's taxonomy places the organism in Eukaryota, Viridiplantae, Streptophyta, Magnoliopsida, Solanales, Solanaceae.